RNAcentral lists this ribosomal RNA (495 nucleotides) under uncultured bacterium. RNAcentral describes it as "partial 16S ribosomal RNA". It matches the Rfam family "Bacterial small subunit ribosomal RNA", at positions 29 to 506 of the family's 1533-position model. The record is from RNAcentral.
AUGAACGCUGGCGGCGUGCCUAAUACAUGCAAGUCGCGCGAACAGACGAGGAGCUUGCUCCUCUGACGUUAGCGGCGGACGGGUGAGUAACACGUGGAUAACCUACCUAUAAGACUGGGAUAACUUCGGGAAACCGGAGCUAAUACCGGAUAAUAUAUUGAACCGCAUGGUUCAAUAGUGAAAGACGGUUUUGCUGUCACUUAUAGAUGGAUCCGCGCCGCAUUAGCUAGUUGGUAAGGUAACGGCUUACCAAGGCAACGAUGCGUAGCCGACCUGAGAGGGGGAUCGGCCACACUGGAACUGAGACACGGUCCAGACUCCUACGGGAGGCAGCAGUAGGGAAUCUUCCGCAAUGGGCGAAAGCCUGACGGAGCAACGCCGCGUGAGUGAUGAAGGUCUUCGGAUCGUAAAACUCUGUUAUUAGGGAAGAACAAAUGUGUAAGUAACUAUGCACGUCUUGACGGUACCUAAUCAGAAAGCCACGGCUAACUACGU